RNAcentral lists this ribosomal RNA (267 nucleotides) under uncultured bacterium. Its description in RNAcentral is "partial 16S ribosomal RNA". It matches the Rfam family "Bacterial small subunit ribosomal RNA", at positions 793 to 1055 of the family's 1533-position model. The record is from RNAcentral.
GUCCUAGCCCUAAACGGUGCAUGUUUGCUGUAAGAGGAAUCGACCCCUUUUGUGGCGAAGCUAACGCGUUAAACAUGCCGCCUGGGAAGUACGGCCGCAAGGUUAAAACUCAAAGAAAUUGACGGGGGCCUGCACAAGCGGUGGAGUAUGUGGCUUAAUUCGAUGCAACGCGAAGAACCUUACCUGGCCUUGACAUGCAAGUAGUAGAACCGUGAAAGCGGGACGAGGUAGCAAUACCAGCUUGCACAGGUGCUGCAUGGCUGUCGU